UUAUUGUUAAUCAGAAAGAAAGGCCAACAAGAUUGAAUAAUCUUAGGAAACUACAGAAAUUCAUGAGCUGCAGGAGCUUGGGGGAGCUGGAACUGGAAGAAGUGAAAGGGUUUAUGGAUCUUGGCUUUAUAUUCAAGAAAGAACACAUAAGCCCAAGAAUGAUCAGUGUAGUCCCUGGUUUGGUGAGAUUAGGAUUAUACAAAAAUAAACACAACAACAAACUCUUUAACAGCAAAGUACCUGAAGAUGAUGAUAUACACACAGAAAAGCAAGAAGAAGCGGAAGGGAUAAUUAGGCCAUACUUGUCAGAGGCUUGGCUAAUAAAAAGACCCGAUUCACCACUAUUAAACCUAAGGUUGCCAAGAGUAUCUGCAGCUGCUGAUAUGAAAAAACACCUCAAGUUCUGGGCUAGAACUGUUGCAUCUGUUAUUCAACAAGAACCUUGAGAGUCUAGGAGAUCCAUAUGGUAGAAGAUAUAUACUCUCCAUUCUACUAAACAAUUGCUGUUUGCUGAUAAAGAAAGAUGAAAUGCCAAAACUCGAUUACAGAUUUUAGUCCACCUUCAGCCGCAGCUGU
This 576-nucleotide unclassified non-coding RNA is filed under the name Hevea brasiliensis (rubber tree). Lineage: Eukaryota; Viridiplantae; Streptophyta; Magnoliopsida; Malpighiales; Euphorbiaceae. The record is from RNAcentral.